CAUAAAAUAGUUUAAGUUAAAAUGUUAAUUUUGGAGAUUAAUGAUAAAGUGUUUACUUUUUUUUUGA
RNAcentral lists this transfer RNA (67 nucleotides) under Paracladura trichoptera. Its description in RNAcentral is "tRNA-Pro". The record is from RNAcentral. Lineage: Eukaryota; Metazoa; Arthropoda; Insecta; Diptera; Trichoceridae.